Molecule: long non-coding RNA, 1570 nt
Filed under: Homo sapiens (human)
Lineage: Eukaryota; Metazoa; Chordata; Mammalia; Primates; Hominidae
Description: non-protein coding lnc-MLYCD-2:8
Source: RNAcentral
GCAGGUGGCCUGGGUGGGAACCUGGUGCUGUUGCUUGCCCGUCGUGUGAUCUUGGGACAGUGCCAUAACCUGUGAGCUGCCAUCUCCCUGGCAGUAAAAUGGCUCCUCGGGUCUCUUCCUCGCAGGGGUCCUGGGAGGUGAAGUGAGCCCCUCCACGGGAGGCCCUGGCACUCGCCCCACGUGCAGACCGCGCUCGAUACACAUCGCCCAUAGUCAUCAGGCCCCGGAACCGACCGCCACUCAUGCCUAUCUCAGCCAGGCUUGGGCGCUGUCCUCUGGUCACCAGCCCCUCGUUGAUUCCCCACCCACUGCCAUGCUGGGGCCUGGCCCCUUCAUCCUGGUGGAUGGGGGAGAGCGGACAGCAGGAGCAGCGAGCUCCAUUCAGGGCUGAGCAAGAAUGGCCUCCAGGAUCCCACAAGGAAAGGCGGGGCUGCGGUUUGAACCCAGAUCUCUCCAGACUGUUCCACUACAACCCAUGGCUGCCCAUGAGAACCACCUGGAAAGCUUUGGACAACACCGAAACCCAGUUCCCAACCCCAGACCGCAAGUAGAGUCCCUGGUCAGGGGCCCCACCCAGCCCUGUGAUCCCAGCUCCACCAGCAGAGGCAGCAGAUCGGGGGUCCAGGGCCUCAGUGCACUCCCAUCCCCGUCGGGGUGCUCCGGCCCUGCUCCUCCACCCCUCAGCCCUGGCUCCCAGCACUCCAGACUCACACUUGGUUUUGGAGUCUUUGCCCAGGAGUAACCCCCAAACGUGUCCUGGUCCUUCCUACGGUGGCAGGCACUGGGGAACCCUCAGCUCUGAGUGUGGGAACACGUGCUGGGACUUAUCGGCGUGGUAGGUCCAGCCAGGUUUGAAGUUGGACAGGCCCACUCCCUGGAGAGACACCUGGUCCCAUGCACACACAAAGGCCACGGAGCCUGUUAGGUGGAGGCUCCUGGGGCCUCAGCUGCUCCGACCUCACCUCAGGAGGCUCAGCCGCUCUGACCCCACCCCCGCCACUUCCUGGCAGGAUGACCUUGGGAAGGCUGUUUUGCCUCAGUUUCCUCAUCUGUAAAAUGCCUAGAACGGCAGCUCCCUCAUGAGGAGGCUGAGACACCCCACGGUGUAACACAGGAAAGAUGCUGAGCUCUGCCGGUGUGGUGGGGAGCGAUGAGUGCUCCAGAAACGGUCCCCACGCUCCACUGUGUGCCGGAGCCUCUGCACUUGGGCCACCGUUUCCUGCGCCUUCUGUAGGAGCAGCAUGGCCUUGGCGCACGCUCGCCCUGCGUGAGCAUGGUGUCACUCUCCUCCCGUGCCGUCUCUUUCCCAUUUUAAACAUCUCCAAGGUUGACAGCAAAGGCUUCUGGGGCUCCAGGGUCACAGCCAAGGGCAGAUGAGAUCAAGUACAGCCACACUGCCACCCUUGUUCCCUUCAUUUUGUGAGACUUCGCCUCCGGCAAACACGAGGCCCAGAAUGUUCCACCAGGGUAGCAGCAGGUGCCCAGCUUGGGGAGGGAAGAGGCGCCGAGCGACCCCCCCAGCCCCUGCCCUGCGCAUGCCCCUUGUCUCCUCGAUGCGCCUCCCCCACCU